GAACUUAUUCCGGGUCGGCUUGGUGCAAGUACGAUCUUCAAGUUCAGCUCCUUCCAAUUCAGGUUAUAUUUUAACCCUCAUUCGCGGUUGUGGUAUAUAUAUAUUGAGCGUUUCACUAUUUUCUCAGCUCAUCAAGACGAGAUGCGGGGCACAAAGCAAUAAUGGCAGCGGUUGCGGUCAAAGGAAAAAAGAGAGAUGUCUCAGAACGGUCGGAGAGCCAUUCUGAAGAGGUAGAGGAGGAGGUUCCACUAAAGAGGAACCGAUCUCGCCCCCGAUUGCACUGAAGAUUCCUGAGGCUGUGCCUUUAUCGAGCCCGUCUCCUACUCUAUCGUCGCCUUCUUUGCCAUCCCCAAUUGCACCCUUUGCUGUCGGGACCAAUUCUGUGAACUCGUAGGAGAGGUGCCCAGAUUAACAGAGGCCAAGCUUGGAGAGUUAAGUGGGACACCGACCAAAGAUAUUUCUUGAUUAUCUCCGAGCUCCUUCUCCUUCUAAGGAGGUGACUGCCACGCUCACUUCACCAUCGAGAGAGUUAGCUAAUCUGCUUAUUAGGAGCUUGGGUGAGAGAGAGCAGGGCUAUCUGAAUGAGAUGUCCAUUGGUGAGGCCUUGGUCACUGCUCAGCUCCAUGGUCACCAAUCAAUUUUAUACAUGAUGGCAAUGGCGGACAAGGUAUACUUCUUACUUUAUGGUGUUUUUUUUUUUUUUUUGAGCAACUAUUUUAUUGACUUACUUGAUUUUUGAUUUUUGAAAAACAUGUGAAGUCUGAGCUGGACAAGAUUAUAGACGCAAAGGAUCAAGCCUUUAGUCUUUAUAACAGCAUGGAGGCUGAAAAUGCCCAGUUUGCUCGAAGGAGAAAGAGUAUGAAGAGAAGCUGAAUCAAAUGAGGAUCGAGCUGAACUCCAGGAUCGAUGUCGAGGAAAAGCUGAUGGGAGAGAUCAAGGCCUUAACGGCCUCAGAAGAAGAAGCCAGAGCUCGGGCUGAGGAGCAUGGCAAGGUCAGGGAGGCCAUCCAGAAAGUGUAGGAGGCCAACGAAAGGGCAAGGAAGGCCACCAGAAGGGCUGAAGAGGCUAAAGCCAAGGCUGAUAGAGCGGUGGAGGCUUGGAAGGAAUCCCCCGAGUUUGACGUCGUAGCCAAGGACAUCUACGUGGUAGCACUGGAGGAGCUGGUGGGGCACAUCAGGAAGGAGAGGCUUGACAUUGACGUGGCCUUUCUGGAUGAAGCGUUGGACGGGCAGAAGGAGGAGCUGCGAAAGUUGUCUGAGGCUGCUGGAGUCCGAAUAUUACCGAUUGUCCAAGAUGUUGAGGAUAGUACCCCAGCCCCCCAAGACCCCUAGGAGGGUUUUUUUUUUUCUUUCAAAACAUUGUGUGGUAUUUAGUUUUGUAAUAUGUUUUGGCUUAUUAGUGAAUUUCGUUUUGAUGUUUCAUGGCAUUUUGUUUGGAAUGGAUGACUGUUUAUGCUCAGUA
RNAcentral lists this long non-coding RNA (1461 nucleotides) under Olea europaea subsp. europaea. Lineage: Eukaryota; Viridiplantae; Streptophyta; Magnoliopsida; Lamiales; Oleaceae. The record is from RNAcentral.